UACGAAGGGGGCUAGCGUUGCUCGGAAUUACUGGGCGUAAAGGGCGCGUAGGCGGCCGCCUAAGUCAGACGUGAAAUCCCUCGGCUCAACCGGGGAACUGCGUCUGAUACUGGGUGGCUUGAAUCCGGGAGAGGGAUGUGGAAUUCCAGGUGUAGCGGUGAAAUGCGUAGAUAUCUGGAGGAACACCGGUGGCGAAGGCGGCAUCCUGGACCGGCAUUGACGCUGAGGCGCGAAAGCUAGGGGAGCAAACGGG
RNAcentral lists this ribosomal RNA (253 nucleotides) under uncultured bacterium. RNAcentral describes it as "partial 16S ribosomal RNA". It matches the Rfam family "Bacterial small subunit ribosomal RNA", at positions 524 to 776 of the family's 1533-position model. The record is from RNAcentral.